UACGUAGGGUGCAGGCGUUAUUCGGAAUUACUGGGCGUAAAGCGUGCGCAGGCGGUUUGCUGAGUCAGGUGUGAAAUCCCCGGGCUUAACCUGGGAACUGCGCUUGUAACUGGCAAGCUGGAGUGUGGCAGAGGGGGGUGGAAUUCCACGUGUAGCAGUGAAAUGCGUAGAGAUGUGGAGGAACACCGAUGGCGAAGGCAGCCCCCUGGGAUAACACUGACGCUCAUGCACGAAAGCGUGGGGAGCAAACAGG
This 253-nucleotide ribosomal RNA is filed under the name uncultured bacterium. RNAcentral describes it as "partial 16S ribosomal RNA". It matches the Rfam family "Bacterial small subunit ribosomal RNA", at positions 524 to 776 of the family's 1533-position model. The record is from RNAcentral.